This 595-nucleotide ribosomal RNA is filed under the name fungal sp. 2 EO-2015. RNAcentral describes it as "eukaryotic LSU rRNA". The stretch from base 198 to 351 matches the Rfam family "5.8S ribosomal RNA". The record is from RNAcentral. Lineage: Eukaryota; Fungi.
AUUCUAUUGCCAGCGCUUAAUUGCGCGGCGAUAAACCUUACACACUUUGUUUUUAUUAUUAAAGACACCAUUGCUUUGGUGGAUGAGUGUAAAAGCUUGUCCGCCAGAGGUUAACUAAAACUCAAUUAUUUAAAGGUAACUUUUUAAAUUGUCAAUAAUAAUUUGUCUGAUUAAUUUCGGAGAAAACAAAUAUUUAAAACUUUCAACAACGGAUCUCUUGGUUCUCGCAUCGAUGAAGAACGCAGCGAAUUGCGAUAAGUAUUGUGAAUUGCAGAAUUUCGUGAAUCAUCGAAUCUUUGAACGCACAUUGCACCCUGUGGUAUUCCACAGGGUAUGCCUGUUUGAGCGUCAUUUCUCUCUCAAAACAUUAGUUUUGGUAUUGAGUGAUACUCGGGUUUUAGGCUUGAGUUUGCUUGAAAAGUAUUGGCAAGGGAAGUAUUUCUUGUGAAAGCUAUUUAUUCAAUGUAUUAGGUUUAUCCAACUCGUUGAUUGAUAGACGGAACUCGUUUUGCUAUUAGGCCCGGCCUUACAACAAACAAACCAAAGUUUGACCUCAAAUCAGGUAGGAUUACCCGCUGAACUUAAGCAUAUCAAU